GGGAUUGUGGCUUAGUGGUAGAGUGCUUGCCUAGCACAUAGGAGGCACUGGGUUCAAACCUCAGCACCA
Molecule: transfer RNA, 69 nt
Filed under: Ictidomys tridecemlineatus (thirteen-lined ground squirrel)
Lineage: Eukaryota; Metazoa; Chordata; Mammalia; Rodentia; Sciuridae
Description: Spermophilus tridecemlineatus (thirteen-lined ground squirrel) tRNA
Rfam family: tRNA
About the family: Transfer RNA (tRNA) molecules are approximately 80 nucleotides in length. Their secondary structure includes four short double-helical elements and three loops (D, anti-codon, and T loops).
Source: Rfam by way of RNAcentral